Molecule: transfer RNA, 85 nt
Filed under: Caudoviricetes sp.
Lineage: Duplodnaviria; Heunggongvirae; Uroviricota; Caudoviricetes
Description: tRNA-Leu
Rfam family: tRNA
About the family: Transfer RNA (tRNA) molecules are approximately 80 nucleotides in length.
Source: RNAcentral
ACCCUAGUGGCGAAAUGGUAUACGCAACUGAAUUAGAAUCAGUGGAGAAGCAAGGCUCGUGAGGGUUCGAUUCCCUCCUAGGGUA